RNAcentral lists this ribosomal RNA (497 nucleotides) under uncultured bacterium. RNAcentral describes it as "partial 16S ribosomal RNA". It matches the Rfam family "Bacterial small subunit ribosomal RNA", at positions 28 to 507 of the family's 1533-position model. The record is from RNAcentral.
GACGAACGCUGGCGGCGUGCCUAAUACAUGCAAGUUGAGCGCUGAAGGUUGGUACUUGUACCGACUGGAUGAGCAGCGAACGGGUGAGUAACGCGUGGGGAAUCUGCCUUUGAGCGGGGGACAACAUUUGGAAACGAAUGCUAAUACCGCAUAAAAACUUUAAACACAAGUUUUAAGUUUGAAAGAUGCAAUUGCAUCACUCAAAGAUGAUCCCUCGUUGUAUUAGCUAGUUGGUGAGGUAAAGGCUCACCAAGGCGAUGAUACAUAGCCGACCUGAGAGGGUGAUCGGCCAACUUGGGACUGAGACAGGGCCCAAACCCCUACGGGAGGCAGCAGUAGGGAAACUUCGGCGAUGGACGGAAGUCUGACCGGGCAACGCCGCGUGAGUGAAGAAGGUUUUCGGAUCGUAAAAAUCUGUUGGUAAAGAAGAACGUUGGUGAGAGUGGAAAGCUCAUCAAGUGACGGUAACUACCCAGAAAGGGACGGCUAACUACGUG